Molecule: ribosomal RNA, 370 nt
Filed under: uncultured organism
Description: partial 16S ribosomal RNA
Rfam family: Bacterial small subunit ribosomal RNA
Source: RNAcentral
GGGGGGGCAAGCGUUGUUCGGAAUUACUGGGCGUAAAGGGCGCGCAGGCGGCCUGGCAAGUCCUACGUGAAAUCCCACAGCUUAACUGUGGAACUGCGUGGGAUACUGCCAGGCUUGAGUCCGGGAGAGGAGAGUGGAAUUCCCAGUGUAGCGGUGAAAUGCGUAGAUAUUGGGAGGAACACCGGUGGCGAAGGCGGCUCUCUGGACCGGUACUGACGCUGAGGCGCGAAAGCUAGGGGAGCAAACGGGGAUUAGAUACCCCGGUAGUCCUAGCCGUAGACUUUGAGCACUUUGUGUGGCGGGUAUCGACCCCUGCCGUGCAGAAGCUAACGCAUCAAGUGCUCCGCCUGGGGAUACGGUCGCAAGGCUG